This 173-nucleotide non-coding RNA is filed under the name uncultured Enterovibrio sp. RNAcentral describes it as "Lysine riboswitch". It matches the Rfam family "Lysine riboswitch aptamer". From Rfam's summary of the family: Riboswitches are metabolite binding domains within certain messenger RNAs that serve as precision sensors for their corresponding targets. Allosteric rearrangement of mRNA structure is mediated by ligand binding, and this results in modulation of gene expression. The record is from RNAcentral. Lineage: Bacteria; Pseudomonadati; Pseudomonadota; Gammaproteobacteria; Vibrionales; Vibrionaceae.
GCACGUAGAGGUGCGAGAUUUAAGAGUCACUUGUUUUAGGGUAAUGCCGAUGAGAACAAGUAAAAGGAAAUCUUGCCGAAGCAGAAAAAAGUUAAUUAGGCUCUUCUGCUGGUGUUGUGCUCAAACAGACUCAACACUGCCAUAGUAUUAAUCUAACUAUGGAGCGCUACUGU